This 468-nucleotide ribosomal RNA is filed under the name uncultured bacterium. RNAcentral describes it as "partial 16S ribosomal RNA". It matches the Rfam family "Bacterial small subunit ribosomal RNA", at positions 28 to 507 of the family's 1533-position model. The record is from RNAcentral.
GACGAACGCUGGCGGCGUGCUUAAUACAUGCAAGUCGAACGGAAAGGCCCUGCUUUUGUGGGGUGCUCGAGUGGCGAACGGGUGAGUAACACGUGAGUAACAUGCCCUUGACUUUGGGAUAACUUCAGGAAACUGGGGCUAAUAUCGGAUAGGAGCUCCUGCUGCAUGGUGGGGGUUGGAAAGUUUCGGCGUUGGGGGAUGGACUCGCGGCUUAUCAGCUUGUUGGUGGGGUAGUGGCGUACCAAGGCUUCGACGGAUAGCCGGCCUGAGAGCGUGACCGGCGACAUUGGGACUGAGAUACGGCCCAGAAGCCUACGGGAGGCAGCAGUCGGGAAUAUUACGCAGUGGGGCGAAGCCUGAUGCAGCAACGCCGCGUGCGGGAUGACGGCCUUCGAGUUGUAAACCGCUUUCGCCUGUGACGAAGCGUGAGUGACGGUAAUGAGUAAAAAAGCACCGGCUAACUACGUG